CCGAAUCGCAGCAAUGCAGAAGAGAGACCAAAGCAAAGCAGGUGGAGGAGCAGGAGGCUCCGCCACGCCGGCGGCGAAGAGAGGCCGUCCUUUCGGGAGCGGAAGCGGCAAUGCUGCCACAGCUGCUGGCGCAGCUGGCUCAGCUGAUUCUGCAGCUCCCUCUACUCUCCUCGGUCCUCCUCUACAAGUACACUCCGCCUUUGCCGAGAGCAGAAUAACAAAAGGAUAGUUCUCGCUCUUCAGAGUGAGUUGACAUGGGCAUUGAACACUCUCACAUUGCUGUCUUUCAAAGAAAAAGAUGAAGUUCGUAAAGAUGCAACUCCUCUUGCCAAGAUUCCUGGUUUGCUCGAUCGAUGCUUUAUUACAAGUUGUAUGUCUCUUGUCAUUCAGCAAAACUUAUGCAUAUGAGUAAUUUCUGUUGCACUGAAUUAUCUAAAUUCGGGCAGAUAGAUGACUGGCGUGAUAUAUCGAUCCUUGCCAAGGGUGCUAGUUAAAACGCCAAGAGUGAGAAUGCUAGGUGCAAAUUCUGCUGUUACUGGAUUUGGGAAUGAAUAUGAGGCCUUGAGCAAAAAUGAAGCUGCUCAUAGCUCUGCGGCUGGUUCCAGCAGUAAAGAGGCUUCUGUACAGAAGAAUACUAGUAUAUAUAUAUAUAUAUGUAUAUGUAUCCGAAUUAGUAACUGAUGAUGAUGCAUUUCACAAUUUCUCAA
Molecule: RNA transcript, 707 nt
Organism: Coffea eugenioides
Lineage: Eukaryota; Viridiplantae; Streptophyta; Magnoliopsida; Gentianales; Rubiaceae
Gene name: armadillo repeat-containing protein LFR-like
Exons: 3
Source: RefSeq, a predicted model, not a curated record